CACCUGCUCUAGCAUGGCUGGCCCACACACCUUGGGGAGUGGCUCAAAAACUUCUUCAGGGAGACUCUGCCCUAUCUAAACUGCUCUCUUUCAGAUCUGGCUCCCCUGAGCGCAGAUGGAAACUGUCUCUGAGGCCACGUCAACCAUGAAGAAACAGUCCCUGGAAUAUAGUAAAUCCUCGUAAAAUGCUCAGAAACACAGGACCAGUGGAUAAGAUCCUUCCAUCCCUGCUUUGCUCCGAUUCACUGCAAGUGGCCUCGAUUUGAUGUGCCUAACUUUGGGAAUCAUCGUGUAGACUUUGACUCUGAUCUCAGCCCUGACGCUGGAUGGCUGUGUGAUUCUAGGUGAGCUGGUGUGUCUCUGAGCCUCGUCGAUUUCGGUCAAAGAGAAGUCUUGAUUAACAUGGGCAGAAAGGAUGCCAACGGUGACUUUCAUCACUCCUGUUUGAUUCCUGUCUUCUUCACCCUUCAGAGCCAGCAAGAGUUUGCUGGCUUGGAUGUUCCUGGGUGGCGGAGUCCAUAGUCUGAGGGCAAGGAGGUCUUGGAAGCAGUUUUCCUGGGUAGAACCUAGUUUUCAGCUGAGACUCCCACCCUCAACACACAUCAAGCUGAAGAUGAGCCCUCUGCCUUUUUUCUAAUACGGAGUUGGAUGUCCCCAGACCAGUGCCGGGAAGGAGGAAGCUCCGGAUACUUGUGAAGGUGUGGGCUGUCCUUUUGCACACCCAUAGUCUCCUUUGACUUUGAAGUUCGGACUGUCACCAUUCCACUUUGGCUUCUGGAUCAAGAAAAUGGUCAAUGUGCUGCCAUGGUAAAGCUCCAGGGGACUUGGAAUCACUCCAGGAUAAUGACAUAUGCCACCCAUUGACAGCUCUGACACGGGCUUUGUUCAGUCACUUCAGACAGCUACUGUUUAAUGUCUUAUUCAGUUCUUCAACAACGCUGUGGACGAAGAAACGGUCCACAGCUGAUAGGCGGAGACACUGAGGUGCGGAGAAGCUAAGGGAUUUAUCCAGGACCUCUCAACCAGCCAUGCCGAACCUGCAGUGUGCACCUUGUUCCUUGGGACAUCAUGCUGCUGCUACAUUACUUGAAGUCGGGUCUUGAGGGAUAUGCACAGUCUGAAGUUCUCUCUUUGUGUACUAAUGAAAACACAGUGGGUACUCCAUUUCCUAGCAGGGCUAGCUCUGGGCUGCUUCAUACUUAAAAUCAUGAAAACUUGCUGAAAUUUAAAAAUCUAGAUCUUGGGCUGGGG
Long non-coding RNA from Rattus norvegicus (Norway rat), 1251 nucleotides. Ensembl lists it as uncharacterized. The record is from Ensembl. Lineage: Eukaryota; Metazoa; Chordata; Mammalia; Rodentia; Muridae.